ACUCAAAUGAAUUGACGGGGGCCCGCACAAGCAGUGGAGCAUGUGGUUUAAUUCGAUGAUACGCGAAGAACCUUACCAGGACUUGACAUCUACGGAAUCCCCUAGAAACAGGGGAGUGCCCGCAAGGGAAUCGUAAGACAGGUGGUGCAUGGUUGUCGUCAGCUCGUGUCGUGAGAUGUUGGGUUAAGUCCCGCAACGAGCGCAACCCCUGUCCCGUGUUGCCAGCACUUCGGGUGGGAACUCACGGGAGACUGCCUAUGGAAAGUAGGAGGAAGGUGGGGAUGACGUCAAAUCAUCAUGCCCCUUAUGUUCUGGGCUACACACAUGCUACAAUGGCCGGUACAACGGGUCGCAUAGCCGCAAGGUUAGCUAAUCUCAUAAAACCGGCCUCAGUUCGGAUUGUAGGCUGCAACUCGCCUACAUGAAGUUGGAAUUGCUAGUAAACGCAGAUCAGCUACGCUGCGUUGAAUACGUUCCCGGGCCUUGUACACACCGCCCGU
RNAcentral lists this ribosomal RNA (500 nucleotides) under uncultured bacterium. Its description in RNAcentral is "partial 16S ribosomal RNA". It matches the Rfam family "Bacterial small subunit ribosomal RNA", at positions 899 to 1397 of the family's 1533-position model. The record is from RNAcentral.